CAACCCUCGAGCCCCCGUGGCCCGGCGUUGGGGAUCUGCCCAGGCAGGCCCUGAAAAUCAGUGGCGGACCCGUUACAGGCCCUUCCUUUGCGUAGUAGCAUUAGCCUCGCAUUGGGAGCCAGCGGGCUUCUGGCCUCUAAACCCCCAUCAAGUCCGCUCCGGCGGCACCAA
This 171-nucleotide unclassified non-coding RNA is filed under the name uncultured Hypocreales. Its description in RNAcentral is "sequence contains ITS2". The record is from RNAcentral. Lineage: Eukaryota; Fungi; Ascomycota; Sordariomycetes; Hypocreales.